RNAcentral lists this ribosomal RNA (860 nucleotides) under Fusarium sporotrichioides. RNAcentral's name for it is "SSU rRNA". It matches the Rfam family "Eukaryotic small subunit ribosomal RNA", at positions 64 to 936 of the family's 1831-position model. Lineage: Eukaryota; Fungi; Ascomycota; Sordariomycetes; Hypocreales; Nectriaceae. The record is from RNAcentral.
UAUAAGCAAUUAUACAGCGAAACUGCGAAUGGCUCAUUAUAUAAGUUAUCGUUUAUUUGAUAGUACCUUACUACUUGGAUAACCGUGGUAAUUCUAGAGCUAAUACAUGCUAAAAAUCCCGACUUCGGAAGGGAUGUAUUUAUUAGAUUAAAAACCAAUGCCCUCCGGGGCUCACUGGUGAUUCAUGAUAACUCCUCGAAUCGCAUGGCCUUGUGCCGGCGAUGGUUCAUUCAAAUUUCUUCCCUAUCAACUUUCGAUGUUUGGGUAUUGGCCAAACAUGGUUGCAACGGGUAACGGAGGGUUAGGGCUCGACCCCGGAGAAGGAGCCUGAGAAACGGCUACUACAUCCAAGGAAGGCAGCAGGCGCGCAAAUUACCCAAUCCCGACACGGGGAGGUAGUGACAAUAAAUACUGAUACAGGGCUCUUUUGGGUCUUGUAAUUGGAAUGAGUACAAUUUAAAUCCCUUAACGAGGAACAAUUGGAGGGCAAGUCUGGUGCCAGCAGCCGCGGUAAUUCCAGCUCCNAUAGCGUAUAUUAAAGUUGUUGUGGUUAAAAAGCUCGUAGUUGAACCUUGGGCCUGGCUGGCCGGUCCGCCUCACCGCGUGUACUGGUCCGGCCGGGCCUUUCCCUCUGUGGAACCCCAUGCCCUUCACUGGGCGUGGCGGGGAAACAGGACUUUUACUGUGAAAAAUUAGAGUGCUCCAGGCAGGCCUNUGCUCGAAUACAUUAGCAUGNAANAAUAGAAUAGGACGUGUGGUNNUAUUUUGUNGGUUNCUAGGNCCGNNGUAAUGAUUAAUNNGNNCAGUCGGGGCAUCAGUAUUCAAUUGUCAGAGGUGAAAUUCUUGGAUUUAUUGAAGAC